RNA transcript from Panthera uncia (snow leopard), 3759 nucleotides. It is a transcript of the gene named RNA binding motif protein 45, with no coding region annotated. The transcript is spliced from 11 exons. The record is from RefSeq and is a predicted model, not a curated record. Lineage: Eukaryota; Metazoa; Chordata; Mammalia; Carnivora; Felidae.
GCGCGAGACCCUUGCGUCUUCCGGAAGCGGAGCCCUGGACCCGCAACGGCUGGGUGUGCGACCACGGUGGUGGCUGGCGCGCCUGAGAAGACAAGAACUAAAGGGGACCCGGGCCUGCCUCCCGCGCCGGGCUAGAACACCAUGGACGAAGCAGGCAGCUGUGCGAGCGGCGGAGGGUUCCGCCCGGGCGUGGAUAGCCUGGACGAGCCCCCCAACAGCCGCAUCUUCCUGGUGAUCAGCAAGUACACGCCCGAGUCGGUGCUGAGGGAGCGCUUCUCGCCCUUCGGCGAGAUCCAGGACAUCUGGGUGGUGCGGGACAAGCACACCAAGGAGUCCAAGGGCAUCGCCUUCGUCAAGUUUGCCCGUAGCUCGCAGGCCUGCAGGGCCAUGGAGGAGAUGCACGGCCAGUGCCUCAGCCCCAACGACACCAAGCCCAUCAAGGUGCAGGUUUUCAUUGCUCAGUCCAGAUCAUCUGGAAGUCACCGAGAUGUUGAAGAUGAAGAACUUACAAGAAUAUUUGUCAUGAUACCAAAGUCCUACACAGAAGAAGAUUUGCGGGAAAAAUUUAAGGUGUAUGGAGAUAUCGAAUACUGCAGCAUUAUUAAGAAUAAAGUAACUGGAGAAAGUAAAGGUUUGGGCUAUGUUCGAUACUUAAAACCAUCACAAGCUGCCCAAGCAAUAGAAAACUGUGAUCGAAGUUUUAGGGCAAUCUUGGCUGAACCUAAAAAUAAAGCAUCUGAAUCCUCAGAACAAGACUAUUAUAACAUGAGGCAGGAGACAUUGGGACAUGAACCUAGAGUAAAUAUGUUUCCAUUCGAACAACAAUCUGAAUUUUCAAGUUUUGACAAGAAUGACAACAGAGGCCAAGAAGCUAUCUCCAAACGCCUGUCAGUUGUAUCAAGAGUUCCUUUCACUGAAGAGCAGCUUUUCAGUAUUUUUGAUAUAGUACCAGGAUUGGAAUACUGUGAAGUUCAACGAGAUCCUUAUUCUAAUUAUGGUCAUGGAGUGGUUCAGUAUUUUAAUGUAGCAUCAGCUAUUUAUGCAAAAUACAAGUUACAUGGAUUUCAGUACCCUCCUGGGAAUCGGAUAGGUGUUUCCUUCAUUGAUGAUGGGAGUAAUGCAACAGAUCUCCUUAGAAAAAUGGCAACGCAGAUGGUAGCAGCACAGCUUGCAUCAAUGGUGUGGAAUAACCCAAAUCAGCAGCAAUUUCUGCAAUUUGGAGGAAAUUCUGGAUCACAGUUGCCUCAAAUCCAGACAGAUGUUGUACUUCCAUCAUGCAAAAAAAAAGCCCCUCCUGAAACUCCUGUGAAAGAAAGACUUUUUAUCGUGUUUAAUCCUCAUCCUUUACCUUUAGAUGUAUUAGAGGAUAUUUUCUGUCGUUUUGGUAACCUGAUCGAAGUUUACCUUGUGUCAGGAAAAAACGUGGGGUAUGCCAAGUAUGCAGAUAGAAUAAGCGCCAAUGAUGCCAUUACUACUUUACAUGGAAAGAUCCUUAAUGGAGUCAGACUUAAAGUUAUGUUGGCAGAUUCCCCAAGGGAAGAAUCUAACAAACGACAGAGAACUUACUGAUUCUUGAGCAUUUUCCCUCCAGAAAUUCAGUACCUGUUUACAUCAUCCUUCUGAAACAAAGACUAAAUAAUGACAUAAUCCUCAGCUGACUGACUGAAAAUGUGACUGGACGCACUCCCUGUGGACAGUUGACAGCUUUUUUUUUUCAUAUACCUGGUAGUCCGUGCACAACAUUGUUUUGUCUGGGGAGCACGAAUUGUUGACAUGAAUUUUUGAAUCCACACGUCAGUGCUAAAACUAAUAUAAUAGUUGUUUCUUAGAGCAAUAUGUUGUUAUGUGUAGCAGAAAUAAAGUUUUCUUUGCUUGACUAAAUCAUGCCUUAUUUAUGUGAAAGAAGAGAAUAAAAAAUACAACAGUGUUUAGAAUUUUACUAAAUGACAUAUUUCAUUGAUUUUGAGAUGCACAUUUUUUCACAUUUUUACACUUCUCAAAUUGGAAACCUCUUAAUACCGAUUAUGUGCCAUACUAUAGUUGACAACCUGUUUUUAUUUCUUAACAGAACGCAAAAUAAAAGUGCUUCCUUCAGUCAGUUGCAUCUUAGAUUCAAUAAAAUAUGGUAAUUGCUCAACCUACACAUCCAGAUUGGCUACUUACACUUUAAGUCAAGAGCCAAAAUACAUUAUUAGAAAUAUUUUAGACUAUAUUUUAUAGUUACACCAAAAUUUGUUGGUAAUUUUGUAAAGAUCUUUUAAGAUUAUAGAGCAACGGUGAUUAAAAAAAGUUUUAAGUUGUUGAUAAGUUUAAUUAAAUAUCAGUGGCCUUGCGGGAGGGUGGACAUUUUCCCUUUAUAAAUACAAGAUAUAAUGGUCACUGCAAAAAUAUGACAUGUAAUUUCAGAACAGAUUAUGAUAGAAUAGUCAUUUCAAAAAAAGAUUAAAGAUUAAGACCCUACUAUGCUUGUAUUUUGAAAAUCCAAGGAAAAUGUUUAGCUGCUAUUGAGGUGAAUGAUGUGUAUCAAAAAGGUGUAUCUAAAUCAGAAACUCAGCAUCUUAAAGAUAUUAUAAAUGGUAUGCAGUUAUUAAAACCACUGAAGUACCUCCUCAUGCCUUUCACAUUCUGAGUUAAACUAAAAAUAAUAAAAGAUUAAGUUCACUGGGCGUAAUAGAGUAUUGCAUAGUUUGACAUCUCUCCAUUUAAAAGUUGAAAAUUCUUUUUUUGAAUUGGUAAUUUUAGUAAAUUGAGAUAAAACUUCCAAUCUCCUCUUCCCAGGCAGGGCUUACUGAAUGAGAAUGGAAUCUUUGUGAACCAAAGAGCAUAUUUUUAUUUAUUUAUUUUGAGAGAGAGAGAGAGUAUGUGUGAGCACAUGCAGGAGGGACAAAGGGAGAGAGAAUCUUAAGGAGGCUCCACACCCAGCCUGGAGCCCAAUGCGGCGCUCCUAUCUCAGGACUGCAAGAUCAUGACUUAAGCUGAAAUCAAGAGUUAGUCACUUAACCAACUGAGCCACCCAGGCUCCCCAAAGGGCACAUUUUAUAGCAAAUAUUCUCAUUCAAAAGCAAAUAUUCUCAUUCAAAAUGAAAAACCUAAGUAAGGAGAGUUGAUUGAUUAUGAACAAGUAGACUUAUUCAUCCUAAGCUCAUUGACUGCACGCAUAGUUCCAUUUUCAUGGAUUGGAACCAAAUGGUGCCCUACAGGUUAUCAGUCUCUACCACUCAAGUGAUGUUUGAAUAUUCCCAGAAAUAUUCCUGCCAGCUGGUUAAUCUAAACAGUGUAAAAGUAGGAAGGGAGUUCUCUUAAGUCAUACCUGAGUCCAUUGCAUCUUUGGUUAAUCCUCAUAAUUAACAAAAUAUGAUUCCCUACAAUUAAUCACCUAUUAGUCUUUAGGUUUUUCACUGGGUCAAACAGAAGAAGCUGAAUCUUUCAGGUGAUUCAGCUCUUUCAGCUCUCACACCCUCCUGCCCUCCAGAUUUUCUAUUUGCAUUAAGUAAUUCCAACUUGUCCAUGCUGCAUUUAAUGUCAGCCAGUUUCAGCAAACAGUUGUGGUUUCAGUAAAGUGUCUUAUGCAGAUAUAUUUCCUUGAUUCCUUCAUAUUAAUUCUAAAGAGACUUGGAGAAUUGUUCUCUGCCUACGAAACACUGCUUUUACAGUGCAACCGUCUGUUGUGUUUUCCAACUGCAUGUCUCAGUUCUCUUGCAGGUGAGCCCUAAAACUUUAUUUUGAAAAGUCAGAAUGUCACGUUUUUCUUAAGAUGAA